RNAcentral lists this ribosomal RNA (476 nucleotides) under uncultured bacterium. Its description in RNAcentral is "bacterial SSU rRNA". It matches the Rfam family "Bacterial small subunit ribosomal RNA", at positions 329 to 793 of the family's 1533-position model. The record is from RNAcentral.
GACAGUACUCCUACGGGGAGGCAGCAGUGGGGGAAUAUUGCACAAUGGGCGCAAGCCUGAUGCAGCCAUGCCGCGUGUGUGAAGAAGGCCUUACGGGUUGUAAAGCACUUUCAGUCGUGAGGAAGGUAGUGUAGUUAAUAGCUGCAUUAUUUGACGUUAGCGACAGAAGAAGCACCGGCUAACUCCGUGCCAGCAGCCGCGGUAAUACGGAGGGUGCGAGCGUUAAUCGGAAUUACUGGGCGUAAAGCGCAUGCAGGUGGUUUGUUAAGUCAGAUGUGAAAGCCCGGGGCUCAACCUCGGAAUAGCAUUUGAAACUGGCAGACUAGAGUACUGUAGAGGGGGGUAGGAAUUUCAGGUGUAGCGGUGAAAUGCGUAGAGAUCUGAAGGAAUACCGGUGGCGAAGGCGGCCCCCUGGACAGAUACUGACACUCAGAUGCGAAAGCGUGGGGAGCAAACAGGAUUAGAUACCCUGGUAG